This 76-nucleotide transfer RNA is filed under the name Alphaproteobacteria bacterium. RNAcentral's name for it is "tRNA-Met". It matches the Rfam family "tRNA". From Rfam's summary of the family: Transfer RNA (tRNA) molecules are approximately 80 nucleotides in length. Their secondary structure includes four short double-helical elements and three loops (D, anti-codon, and T loops). The record is from RNAcentral. Lineage: Bacteria; Pseudomonadati; Pseudomonadota; Alphaproteobacteria.
GGCGGUGUAGCUCAGUGGUUAGAGCAGAGGAAUCAUAAUCCUUGUGUCCGGAGUUCAAAUCUCUGCACCGCCACCA